UGCUGGAGGUAUCAGAAGUGCGAAUGCUGACAUAAGUAACGAUAAAGCGGGUGAAAAGCCCGCUCGCCGGAAGACCAAGGGUUCCUGUCCAACGUUAAUCGGGGCAGGGUGAGUCGACCCCUAAGGCGAGGCCGAAAGGCGUAGUCGAUGGGAAACGGGUUAAUAUUCCCGUACUUGGUGUUACUGCGAAGGGGGGACGGAGAAGGCUAUGUUGGCCGGGCGACGGUUGUCCCGGUUUAAGCGUGUAGGUGUGUGUUCCAGGUAAAUCCGGUUCACUUUAACACUGAGGCGUGACGACGAGGCACUACGGUGCUGAAGCAACAAAUGCCCUGCUUCCAGGAAAAGCCUCUAAGCAUCAGGUAACAUCAAAUCGUACCCCAAACCGACACAGGUGGUCAGGUAGAGAAUACCAAGGCGCUUGAGAGAACUCGGGUGAAGGAACUAGGCAAAAUGGUGCCGUAACUUCGGGAGAAGGCACGCUGACACGUAGGUGAAGUGAUUUACUCACGGAGCUGAAGUCAGUCGAAGAUACCAGCUGGCUGCAACUGUUUAUUAAAAACACAGCACUGUGCAAACACGAAAGUGGACGUAUACGGUGUGACGCCUGCCCGGUGCCGGAAGGUUAAUUGAUGGGGUCAGCGCAAGCGAAGCUCCUGAUCGAAGCCCCGGUAAACGGCGGCCGUAACUAUAACGGUCCUAAGGUAGCGAAAUUCCUUGUCGGGUAAGUUCCGACCUGCACGAAUGGCGUAAUGAUGGCCAGGCUGUCUCCACCCGAGACUCAGUGAAAUUGAACUCGCUGUGAAGAUGCAGUGUACCCGCGGCAAGACGGAAAGACCCCGUGAACCUUUACUAUAGCUUGACACUGAACAUUGAGCCUUGAUGUGUAGGAUAGGUGGGAGGCUUUGAAGUGUGGACGCCAGUCUGCAUGGAGCCGACCUUGAAAUACCACCCUUUAAUGUUUGAUGUUCUAACGUGGACCCGUAAUCCGGGUUGCGGACAGUGUCUGGUGGGUAGUUUGACUGGGGCGGUCUCCUCCUAAAGAGUAACGGAGGAGCACGAAGGUUGGCUAAUCCUGGUCGGACAUCAGGAGGUUAGUGCAAUGGCAUAAGCCAGCUUGACUGCGAGCGUGACGGCGCGAGCAGGUGCGAAAGCAGGUCAUAGUGAUCCGGUGGUUCUGAAUGGAAGGGCCAUCGCUCAACGGAUAAAAGGUACUCCGGGGAUAACAGGCUGAUACCGCCCAAGAGUUCAUAUCGACGGCGGUGUUUGGCACCUCGAUGUCGGCUCAUCACAUCCUGGGGCUGAAGUAGGUCCCAAGGGUAUGGCUGUUCGCCAUUUAAAGUGGUACGCGAGCUGGGUUUAGAACGUCGUGAGACAGUUCGGUCCCUAUCUGCCGUGGGCGCUGGAGAACUGAGGGGGGCUGCUCCUAGUACGAGAGGACCGGAGUGGACGCAUCACUGGUGUUCGGGUUGUCAUGCCAAUGGCACUGCCCGGUAGCUAAAUGCGGAAGAGAUAAGUGCUGAAAGCAUCUAAGCACGAAACUUGCCCCGAGAUGAGUUCUCCCUGAGACUUUAGGUCUCCUGAAGGAACGUUGAAGACGACGACGUUGAUAGGCCGGGUGUGUAAGCGCAGCGAUGCGUUGAGCUAACCGGUACUAAUGAACCGUGAGGCUUAACCUUACAACGCCGAAG
This 1688-nucleotide ribosomal RNA is filed under the name Salmonella enterica subsp. enterica serovar Typhimurium. RNAcentral's name for it is "bacterial LSU rRNA". It matches the Rfam family "Bacterial large subunit ribosomal RNA", at positions 1271 to 2925 of the family's 2925-position model. The record is from RNAcentral. Lineage: Bacteria; Pseudomonadati; Pseudomonadota; Gammaproteobacteria; Enterobacterales; Enterobacteriaceae. RNAcentral also lists the same sequence under 1 other name.